GGGGGGAGGCUGGAUCCUGGGCUGUGUCUCGGCGCCCUGUGGUCCGGGGCCUGCGCUGUUGGAUUCGCGCUCCCGGGCCGCGCAGCCCCCU
RNAcentral lists this microRNA precursor (91 nucleotides) under Canis lupus familiaris (dog). RNAcentral's name for it is "mir-8799 microRNA precursor family". It matches the Rfam family "mir-8799 microRNA precursor family". Lineage: Eukaryota; Metazoa; Chordata; Mammalia; Carnivora; Canidae. RNAcentral also lists the same sequence under 1 other name. The record is from Rfam by way of RNAcentral.